UUUAUGGACGUCGUGAGUGCUUC
This 23-nucleotide small nuclear RNA is filed under the name Arabidopsis thaliana (thale cress). RNAcentral describes it as "snRNA_13711". The record is from RNAcentral. Lineage: Eukaryota; Viridiplantae; Streptophyta; Magnoliopsida; Brassicales; Brassicaceae.